This 355-nucleotide ribosomal RNA is filed under the name uncultured Pelotomaculum sp. RNAcentral's name for it is "bacterial SSU rRNA". It matches the Rfam family "Bacterial small subunit ribosomal RNA", at positions 1028 to 1382 of the family's 1533-position model. The record is from RNAcentral. Lineage: Bacteria; Bacillati; Bacillota; Clostridia; Eubacteriales; Desulfotomaculaceae.
AGGGAGACAGGUGGUGCAUGGUUGUCGUCAGCUCGUGUCGUGAGAUGUUGGGUUUAAGUCCCGCAACGAGCGCAACCCCUACGUUUAGUUGCUAACAGGUGAAGCUGAGCACUCUAGACGAACUGCCGUUGACAAAACGGAGGAAGUGGGGAUGACGUCAAAUCAUCAUGCCCCUUAUGUUCUGGGCUACACACGUGCUACAAUGGCCGGUACAGACGGAGGCGAAGCCGCGAGGCGGAGCAAAUCCGAAAAAGCCGGUCUCAGUUCGGAUUGCAGGCUGCAAUUCGCCUGCAUGAAGUCGGAGUUGCUAGUAAUCGCGGAUCAGAAUGCCGCGGUGAAUGCGUUCCCGGGUCUU